GCCAGUUUGGCUUAAUGGAUAGAGCGUUAACCUGCAGACUAAAGGGUGCCAGGUUCAAUUCUGGUAAAGGGCA
Non-coding RNA from Myotis davidii, 73 nucleotides. The record is from Rfam. NCBI's taxonomy places the organism in Eukaryota, Metazoa, Chordata, Mammalia, Chiroptera, Vespertilionidae.